GACGAACGCUGGCGGCGUGCUUAACACAUGCAAGUCGAGCGGUAAGGCCCUUUCGGGGGUACGACGAGCGGCGAACGGGUGAGUAACACGUGGGUGACCUGCCCUCAGCUCUGGGAUAAGCCUGGGAAACCGGGUCUAAUACCGGAUAUGACUCCAUGACGCAUGCUGUGGGGUGGAAAGCCUUGUGCGGCUGAGGAUGGGCCCGCGGCCUAUCAGCUUGUUGGUGGGGUGANGGCCUACCAAGGCGACGACGGGUAGCCGGCCUGAGAGGGCGACCGGCCACACUGGGACUGAGACACGGCCCAGACUCCUACGGGAGGCAGCAGUGGGGAAUCUUGCGCAAUGGGCGAAAGCCUGACGCAGCGA
Molecule: ribosomal RNA, 366 nt
Filed under: uncultured bacterium
Lineage: Bacteria
Description: bacterial SSU rRNA
Rfam family: Bacterial small subunit ribosomal RNA
Source: RNAcentral